GCGGCUUCUAAGCCUGCUGCUGCUGCUGCUGCUCCGGCGAAGAAGAAGACUGCUGCAGCUGCUAAGCCCAAAGCGGCGAAGGCAAAGCCCGCUGCAAAGCCGAAACCCAAACCAAAGGCUGCUGCCAAGCCCGCUGCAAAGGCCAAACCUGCUGCAAAGGCCAAGCCUGCUGCUAAGGCAAAACCUGCUGCUAAGGCAAAACCCGCUGCCAAGGCAAAGCCUGCUGCCAAGGCUAAGCCCGCUGUUAAGCCCAAGCCCAAAGCGAUUGUUGCUGCUAAGCCCAAAGCUGCCGCUGCUAAGCCUAAAGCUACUCCUGUGAAGGCAAAGGCGGCU
This 333-nucleotide long non-coding RNA is filed under the name Nicotiana tabacum (common tobacco). Its description in RNAcentral is "long non-coding RNA (NTAB_LNC003351)". The record is from RNAcentral. Lineage: Eukaryota; Viridiplantae; Streptophyta; Magnoliopsida; Solanales; Solanaceae.